UAGAGUUCAAGUUUUACCCAGUGGUGCAGAAGAAAUCCAAUACUUGGUGAAGUGGAGAGGACUUCCUGAGUCAGAAGCCAGCUGGGAACCGGAGGAUUCGUUACGGCAUGAGGAGGAUCGGGUCGAAGCAUACAGAAGGAGCACAUCGACAAGAACGUCGAUCUGAUCAAGUGGGAGAGUCUGUCAGGGCCUUUUUCCUUGCAUUUUUGUUUGGCAAUGGCCUCUGACACAGUCUUGUACAUACCUUGUAACUAGAUGGCAUGAACAACUACCGCCACACCAUUUUUUCUUAUUUUGGGUGGGUUUCGGGGUGUUUUCAUCAUGUCGGAGCUUCCGAAGGCGAGCCAUGAAAAUGCAAUGCUGCUCGAUCAUUUAGAAUCCCCGGGGUGGGAUUUGGGUGGAUGCCCUGCUUGUAUAGUGUUGGGAGGGUGGGCGAGAACAAUCCAGUGGGCCGGUUUCCUUGCGGAUUCUUGCAGUGUCCAUUGUUGCCUCCCCUGCCUCCUGAGC
Molecule: long non-coding RNA, 507 nt
Filed under: Elaeis guineensis (African oil palm)
Lineage: Eukaryota; Viridiplantae; Streptophyta; Magnoliopsida; Arecales; Arecaceae
Description: long non-coding RNA (EGUI_LNC023729)
Source: RNAcentral